RNAcentral lists this unclassified non-coding RNA (128 nucleotides) under soil metagenome. Its description in RNAcentral is "partial internal transcribed spacer 1". The record is from RNAcentral.
CGAAUGGGUCCAAAGACUCUUAAAACCUACCGUGCUCCCCUACGUGGACAUCAGGAAAGCCCUCCGGGGCAUCAGAAAUCUGAGAAGUUGAAGAACUGCGCCCCGGCGCAUGACUUAAGAAAAAAUUA